GAUGAACGCUAGCGGCAGGCUUAACACAUGCAAGUCGAGGGGUAACAGGGUGCUUGCACCGCUGACGACCGGCGCACGGGUGCGUAACGCGUAUAGAACCUACCUUUUACAGGAGAAUACCCCAGAGAAAUUUGGAAUAAUGCUCCAUAGUAUUAUUGAAUGGCAUCAUUUGAUAAUUAAACAUUUAUGGGUAAAAGAUGGCUAUGCGUUCUAUUAGCUAGAUGGUAAGGUAACGGCUUACCAUGGCAACGAUAGAUAGGGGUCCUGAGAGGGAGAUCCCCCACACUGGUACUGAGACACGGACCAGACUCCUACGGGAGGCAGCAGUGAGGAAUAUUGGACAAUGGAGGCAACUCUGAUCCAGCCAUGCCGCGUGCAGGAAGACGGUCCUAUGGAUUGUAAACUGCUUUUAUACAGGAAGAAACACUCCCUCGUGAGGGAGCUUGACGGUACUGUAUGAAUAAGCACCGGCUAACUCCGUGCCAGCAGCCGCGGUAAUACGGAGGGUGCAAGCGUUAUCCGGAAUCAUUGGGUUUAAAGGGUCCGUAGGCGGGCUAAUAAGUCAGGGGUGAAAUCCAACAGCUUAACUGUUGAAUUGCCUUUGAUACUGUUAGUCUUGAGUUAUAUGGAAGUAGAUAGAAUGUGUAGUGUAGCGGUGAAAUGCUUAGAGAUUACACAGAAUACCGAUUGCGAAGGCAGUCUACUAC
Molecule: ribosomal RNA, 707 nt
Filed under: Lutibacter sp.
Lineage: Bacteria; Pseudomonadati; Bacteroidota; Flavobacteriia; Flavobacteriales; Flavobacteriaceae
Description: bacterial SSU rRNA
Rfam family: Bacterial small subunit ribosomal RNA
Source: RNAcentral